UACGUAGGGGGCAAGCGUUAUCCGGAUUUACUGGGUGUAAAGGGAGCGUAGACGGAAUAGCAAGUCUGAUGUGAAAACCCGGGGCUCAACUCCGGGAGUGCAUUGGAAACUGUUGAUCUAGAGUGUCGGAAAGGCAAGCGGAAUUCCUAGUGUAGCGGUGAAAUGCGUAGAUAUUAGGAGGAACACCAGUGGCGAAGGCGGCUUGCUGGACGAUGACUGACGUUGAGGCUCGAAAGCGUGGGGAGCAAACAGG
This 253-nucleotide ribosomal RNA is filed under the name uncultured bacterium. RNAcentral's name for it is "partial 16S ribosomal RNA". It matches the Rfam family "Bacterial small subunit ribosomal RNA", at positions 524 to 776 of the family's 1533-position model. The record is from RNAcentral.